RNAcentral lists this ribosomal RNA (506 nucleotides) under uncultured bacterium. Its description in RNAcentral is "partial 16S ribosomal RNA". It matches the Rfam family "Bacterial small subunit ribosomal RNA", at positions 29 to 523 of the family's 1533-position model. The record is from RNAcentral.
AGUGAACGCUGGCGGUAGGCCUAACACAUGCAAGUCGAACGGCAGCACAGGAGAGCUUGCUCUCUGGGUGGCGAGUGGCGGACGGGUGAGGAAUACAUCGGAAUCUACUCUGUCGUGGGGGAUAACGUAGGGAAACUUACGCUAAUACCGCAUACGACCUACGGGUGAAAGCAGGGGACCUUCGGGCCUUGCGCGAUUGAAUGAGCCGAUGUCGGAUUAGCUAGUUGGCGGGGUAAAGGCCCACCAAGGCGACGAUCCGUAGCUGGUCUGACAGGAUGAUCAGCCACACGGGAACUGAGCCACGGUCCAGACUCCUACGGGAGGCAGCAGUGGGGAAUAUUGGACAAUGGGCGCAAGCCUGAUCCAGCCAUACCGCGUGGGUGAAGAAGGCCUUCGUGUUGUAAAGCCCUUUUGUUGGGAAAGAAAUCCAGCUGGCUAAUACCCGGUUGGGAUGACGGUACCCAAAGAAUAAGCACCGGCUAACUUCGUGCCAGCCGCCGCGGUAA